Molecule: ribosomal RNA, 777 nt
Filed under: uncultured Neocallimastigales
Lineage: Eukaryota; Fungi; Neocallimastigomycota; Neocallimastigomycetes; Neocallimastigales
Description: partial large subunit ribosomal RNA
Rfam family: Eukaryotic large subunit ribosomal RNA
Source: RNAcentral
AUAUCAGUCAUGCAUAGCAUAUCAAUAAGCGGAGGAAAAGAAACUAACUAGGAUUCCCUUAGUAACGGCGAGUGAAGCGGGAAGAGCUCAAAUUUGAAAUCUUCAAGGUUCUACCUUGACGAAUUGUAGUUUAUAGAAGUGUUUUCUGUUAGUAGAGUGGCAAAAGUUCUUUGGAAUAGGACAUCAUAGAGGGUGAGAAUCCCGUAUUUGGUCAUUCUUCCUAGCGUUGUGAUACACUUUCAACGAGUCGGAUUGUUUGGGAAUGUAGUCCAAAAUGGGUGGUAAAUUUCAUCUAAAGCUAAAUAUUGGCGAGAGACCGAUAGCGAACAAGUACCGUGAGGGAAAGAUGAAAAGAACUUUGAAAAGAGAGUUAAACAGUACGUGAAAUUGUCAAAAGGGAAGCGUUUGACACCAGUGUUGUUUUUCCGAAAAUCAAUUACGAAUGUUUUAUUUUUGAGAAGUUAUGACUUCAUCGGCUUGCUUCUCUCUUUAUGAAACUUUCUUAAUGCACUUUUCGGUUAACAAGUCAACAUCAAUUUCCUUUGUUGUAAAAGGGUAUGAGGAAGGUGGCUUUCUUUUCGGAGAAAGUGUUUAUAGCCUUGUACCUCUGCAAUCGGAGAGAUUGAGGUCUGCAGCGUAGAUCCUUCGGGGUUAGGAUACAGUUUGUGCUAAGUUAUAGCUUUUCAUAGACAACUUGUUGACUAUGUUUAGUCUUGUAGCUUACUCGCUUACUGCUAUUUUACCUACGCUUAGGAUGUUGAUCUCUCACAGUCGAGC